UGCAGUCGAACGGGAAGUCCCCGCAAGGGGAUGAGUAAAGUGGCGACCGGGUGAGUAACACGUGACUAACCUACCCUUGAGUGGGGGAUAACCUAGGGAAACCUGGGCUAAUACCGCAUAACGUCUUUGGAUCGGAAGAACUGGAGAUCAAAGGAGCAAUUCGCUUAAGGAGGGGGUCGCGGCUGAUUAGCUAGUUGGCGGGGUAAUGGCCCACCAAGGCUUUGAUCGGUAGCCGGCCUGAGAGGGCGCACGGCCACACUGGAACUGAAACACGGUCCAGACUCCUACGGGAGGCAGCAGUGGGGAAUUUUGCGCAAUGGGGGAAACCCUGACGCAGCAACGCCGCGUGGAGGAUGAAGUCCCUUGGGACGUAAACUCCUUUCGACCCGGACGAUAAUGACGGUACGGGUGGAAGAAGCCCCGGCUAACUUCGUGCCAGCAGCCGCGGUAAUACGAGGGGGGCAAGCGUUGUUCGGAAUUAUUGGGCGUAAAGGGCGCGUAGGCGGUGCGACAAGUCACCUGUGAAACCUCUGGGCUUAACCCAGAGCCUGUGCAGUCGAACGGGAAGUCCCCGCAAGGGGAUGAGUAAAGUGGCGACCGGGUGAGUAACACGUGACUAACCUACCCUUGAGUGGGGGAUAACCUAGGGAAACCUGGGCUAAUACCGCAUAACGUCUUUGGAUCGGAAGAACUGGAGAUCAAAGGAGCAAUUCGCUUAAGGAGGGGGUCGCGGCUGAUUAGCUAGUUGGCGGGGUAAUGGCCCACCAAGGCUUUGAUCGGUAGCCGGCCUGAGAGGGCGCACGGCCACACUGGAACUGAAACACGGUCCAGACUCCUACGGGAGGCAGCAGUGGGGAAUUUUGCGCAAUGGGGGAAACCCUGACGCAGCAACGCCGCGUGGAGGAUGAAGUCCCUUGGGACGUAAACUCCUUUCGACCCGGACGAUAAUGACGGUACGGGUGGAAGAAGCCCCGGCUAACUUCGUGCCAGCAGCCGCGGUAAUACGAGGGGGGCAAGCGUUGUUCGGAAUUAUUGGGCGUAAAGGGCGCGUAGGCGGUGCGACAAGUCACCUGUGAAACCUCUGGGCUUAACCCAGAGCCUG
This 1102-nucleotide ribosomal RNA is filed under the name uncultured bacterium. Its description in RNAcentral is "bacterial SSU rRNA". The stretch from base 507 to 1102 matches the Rfam family "Bacterial small subunit ribosomal RNA", at positions 1 to 623 of the family's 1533-position model. The record is from RNAcentral.